AGUAGUAUUAAAAUAAAAAACUCAUGCACUAUGGCGGUUUCCAUAUAUUAGAGAAACUCGCUUAUUAAUCGACAAUACUCGUUAAUUUUAACUUUUUUUCAAAAUUUAUAUACCGCCGUUUCAGAUUUAAUUACAAAAUAUAAACCAAACAAUUAACAAUCAAUUAAAAAUCAGGUCAAGGUGUAGUAAACAAAUAAGUUUAAGUAAGUUACAAUAAAAAUAAUUUAAGAAUCAAAUACUAAAAUACUACGUGAAAGAGAAUCUAUAUGUACAUAUUAAUUAAAAUCUAAUAUAGAAACUUAAAAUCGAAAC
RNAcentral lists this ribosomal RNA (312 nucleotides) under Belisana sp. Mal30. Its description in RNAcentral is "partial 12S ribosomal RNA". The record is from RNAcentral. Lineage: Eukaryota; Metazoa; Arthropoda; Arachnida; Araneae; Pholcidae.